UCUCCGUUGGUGAACCAGCGGAGGGAUCAUUACCGAGUGCAAACUCAUAACCCUUUGUGAACCUAUAUCUGUUGCUUCGGCGGCUCGCUCUCGGGCGAGCCCGCCGGUAAUAUCAGUAUCUCUGUUUGAACCCGACGAUACUUCUGAGUGUUCUUAGCGAACAGUUAAAACUUUUAACAACGGAUCUCUUGGCUCUG
Molecule: unclassified non-coding RNA, 197 nt
Filed under: plant metagenome
Description: partial contains small subunit ribosomal RNA, internal transcribed spacer 1, and 5.8S ribosomal RNA
Source: RNAcentral